GUGCCCUUGAGGCGUGGCUUCCGGAGCUAACGCGUUAAAUCGACCGCCUGGGGAGUACGGCCGCAAGGUUAAAACUCAAAUGAAUUGACGGGGGCCCGCACAAGCGGUGGAGCAUGUGGUUUAAUUCGAUGCAACGCGAAGAACCUUACCUGGUCUUGACAUCCACAGAACUUAGCAGAGAUGCUUUGGUGCCUUCGGGAACUGUGAGACAGGUGCUGCAUGGCUGUCGUCAGCUCGUGUUGUGAAAUGUUGGGUUAAGUCCCGCAACGAGCGCAACCCUUAUCCUUUGUUGCCAGCGGUUAGGCCGGGAACUCAAAGGAGACUGCCAGUGAUAAACUGGAGGAAGGUGGGGAUGACGUCAAGUCAUCAUGGCCCUUACGACCAGGGCUACACACGUGCUACAAUGGCAUAUACAAAGAGAAGCGACCUCGCGAGAGCAAGCGGACCUCAUAAAGUAUGUCGUAGUCCGGAUUGGAGUCUGCAACUCGACUCCAUGAAGUCGGAAUCGCUAGUAAUCGUAGAUCAGAAUGCUACGGUGAAUACGUUCCCGGGCCUUGUACACACCGCCCGUCACACCAUGGGAGUGGGUUGCAAAAGAAGUAGGUAGCUUAACCUUCGGGAGGGCGCUUACCACUUUGUGAUUCAUGACUGGGGUGAAGUCGUAACAAGGUAACCGUAGGGGAACCUGCGGUUG
This 694-nucleotide ribosomal RNA is filed under the name Klebsiella pneumoniae. RNAcentral describes it as "bacterial SSU rRNA". It matches the Rfam family "Bacterial small subunit ribosomal RNA", at positions 826 to 1520 of the family's 1533-position model. The record is from RNAcentral. Lineage: Bacteria; Pseudomonadati; Pseudomonadota; Gammaproteobacteria; Enterobacterales; Enterobacteriaceae.